This 253-nucleotide ribosomal RNA is filed under the name uncultured bacterium. Its description in RNAcentral is "partial 16S ribosomal RNA". It matches the Rfam family "Bacterial small subunit ribosomal RNA", at positions 524 to 776 of the family's 1533-position model. The record is from RNAcentral.
GACGAACCGUGCGAACGUUGUUCGGAAUAACUGGGCUUAAAGGGUGCGUAGGCGGGUCCGCCAGUCUGUGGUGAAAUCCUCCCGCUCAACGGGAGAACUGCCGUGGAUACUGCGGACCUCGAGGAAGAUAGGGGCGUGCGGAACAGUUGGUGGAGCGGUGAAAUGCGUUGAUAUCAACUGGAACUCCGGUGGCGAAGGCGGCACGCUGGGUCUUUUCUGACGCUGAGGCACGAAAGCUCGGGGAGCAAACGGG